CGCAUCUGUGCAUGCAGCAUAUCAAUAAGCGGAGGAAAAGUAACCUACGCUUAGGAUGUUGACGCGCGUGUGGUGGCUAAUGACUAGGCAUAUCAAUAAGCGGAGGAAAAGAAACUAACAAGGAUUCCCUUAGUAACGGCGAGUGAAGCGGGAAGAGCUCAAAUUUGAAAUCUUCAAGGUUUUACCUUGACGAAUUGUAGUUUAAAGAAGUGUUUUCUGUUGAAGUUUUGGUAAAAGUUCUUUGGAAUAGGACAUCAUAGAGGGUGAGAAUCCCGUAUUUGACCAUUAUUUUCAGCUGUGUGAUACACUUUCAAAGAGUCGGAUUGUUUGGUAAUGCAGUCCAAAAUGGGUGGUAAAUUUCAUCUAAAGCUAAAUAUUGGCGAGAGACCGAUAGCGAACAAGUACCGUGAGGGAAAGAUGAAAAGAACUUUGAAAGGAGAGUUAAACAGUACGUGAAAUUGUCAAAAGGGAAGCGUUUGACACCAGUGUUGUUUUCUCGAAAAUCAAUUAAAAAGAGUUAGAUUUUGUUGUGUAUUGACCUUAACAGCUUGCAUUUCAAUUUUCUUGCUUUUUUUAAUGCACUUUUCGUUUAACAAGUCAACAUCAGUUUCUUUUGUUGUAAAAAGGUCAUUGGAAGGUGGCUUUCUUUUCGGAGAAAGUGUUUAUAGCCUUUGACUCCUGCAAUCGGAGAGACUGAGGUCUGCAGCGUAGAUCCUUCGGGGUUAGAUACAUUUGUGCUAAGUUAUAGCUUUUUAUAGACAACUUGUUGACUAUGAUUAGUCUUGUAGCUUACUCGCUUAUGCUAUUUUACCUACGCUUAGGAUGUUGACGCGCGUGUGUGCGUG
Molecule: ribosomal RNA, 845 nt
Filed under: uncultured Neocallimastigales
Lineage: Eukaryota; Fungi; Neocallimastigomycota; Neocallimastigomycetes; Neocallimastigales
Description: partial large subunit ribosomal RNA
Rfam family: Eukaryotic large subunit ribosomal RNA
Source: RNAcentral